This 92-nucleotide ribosomal RNA is filed under the name Paenibacillus lautus. Its description in RNAcentral is "partial 23S ribosomal RNA". It matches the Rfam family "Bacterial large subunit ribosomal RNA", at positions 2833 to 2925 of the family's 2925-position model. Lineage: Bacteria; Bacillati; Bacillota; Bacilli; Caryophanales; Paenibacillaceae. The record is from RNAcentral.
ACCCCUUGAAGACGACGAGGUAGAUAGGUUGGAGGUGGAAGUGCAGCAAUGCAUGGAGCUGACCAAUACUAAUCGGUCGAGGGCUUAUCCAA